This 856-nucleotide ribosomal RNA is filed under the name uncultured fungus. RNAcentral describes it as "partial 18S ribosomal RNA". The stretch from base 17 to 273 matches the Rfam family "Eukaryotic small subunit ribosomal RNA", at positions 103 to 385 of the family's 1831-position model. Lineage: Eukaryota; Fungi. The record is from RNAcentral.
GGNAAGNANCGCGNANAUAUAAGUNAUCGUUUAUUUGAUAGCACAUUNACCUACGUGGAUAACCGGGGUAUUUCUAGAGAAUACGUGCAAAAAAUCCCGACCUGAGAGGGGAUGUUUUUAUUAUAUUAAAACCCAGCCCCUUUCGGGGCUUCUUGGUGAUUCAUGAAAACUUGUCAAAUCACAGGGCCUUGCGCCGGCGAUGGUUCAUUCAUUUUUCCUCCCUAUCAACUUUCGAUGCGAAGGUCGUGUCUUCGCGGGGUUGCAACGGGNUGGANAGACGNUCANACANUAGGAAGGGGGUUAUANAUUAUUACUCCGACUAACAUUCCAAGGCACAGCAGUGGUGCAAAUGAGUUUUCCACAGCAACCCCAAAUCCCCAGGAGCUGUUGAUCCUUUANGUAUCUUUCCACAGCCAGGAUUCUUGCCUGGAGCUGCUUGAUGCCCCAGACUGUGAGUUGCAACAGAUGCUGUUGCGCCUCAAUACCCCUCANCAAAUUGUUCUGCUGCUGCACUAUACCAGACAAUAAUUGUCUGGCCUGUACCGUCAACNUCAUUGACGCUGCGCCCAUANUGCUUCCUGCUGCUCCCAAACCCAANGAACAAAGCUCCUAUUCCCACUGCUCUUUUUUCUCUCUGCACCACUCUUCUCUUUGCCUUGGUGGGUGCUACUCCUAAUGGUUCAAUUUUUACNACUUUAUANUUUAUAUAAUUCACUUCUCCAAUUGUCCCUCANAUCUCCUCCUCCAUCUGAAUCANCNGNCGGCCGCUNGCNGNUGCNGUGGUCUUANUUUUGUUUUACCUCCCNCNAUCUUGUCUAAAGCUUCCNUUGGUGUCCUUUAUCUCCUAUCCNUUUGA